GGGACCGGAGGCCGGGCCGCCCCUCCCCCGUGCCGUCGCCUGGCGGACAUGGCCGCGCCCCACGCCCGGGGGAGCCGCAGCCGAAGCUUCCGCGCGCUGCGGACUCACCGGAGAGGGGCGCGCACGGACGCACGGACGCCAGAGCCCGCCCCGGAGCAUGUGGAAGCUGAGCCGGGGCCGGGUGCUUUUGGACGAGCCCCCCGAGGAGGAGGACGGCCUUCAGGGGGGGCCGCCGCCCGCCGCCUCGGCCGCCGCCGCCGCCGCGCAGAAAAAAAUAUAUCCACUUGUUUUUUCUGAUGUCAAGCAGUUCCCCAGUCCUCUGAAACCAGUUCAGUUCCGUCACCACCUGGAGUGAGCAAGACCAGGGCUCCGGCCGCUCCCACCACACGGGGAGUGACACCAGCAAGAUGGCAGAGAGGAAAGGAAGCCUCUGACUUUGCUUCCGUGCAGAGACACCAGCUUAGCAGUUUAGCAGUACGUGUCCCCAACAGCUCUGUGAGAACUCCAGAAGCCCAUCAAGAAGCUGCAGUGAAGGGAACAGCUGCGCUGAAAUGGGAAAGGGUUGGUUUCCCCUGUAGUAGCCAUUGGCCUGAGUUGCACGCCUCAGCAUAACUGGUCGUAAGGGCCAGACUUGUGCUUCUGUAUCAGAAGGGAAGCAGGCAUCCCGAAGGACUGGUUUCUGACUUUCUGGCCAGCCAGAUGCUGGUAGAACUGGCACGUUUGGACCCCUGUGGCCCAAGGACCACCGAAUACAGCUGCUCGUUGCAGCAUUAGGGAGCCUGCAGUGACGCAGACAGACACCAGAGGGGACAAGAGGUUACAGGCUCCUGAGAACCUUCUAACAGCGAGGUCACAUGCCCAGCUCAGAGAGGGCACCCCGCAGGAAAGGCUUGGGAGGCUCUAAAACUCGCCAGCUAUGCUGACCAGUGAAGGGCUUUCCCUGUGUGAAGCCAGUCCAUAAACACUGGGAGAGGGGGCUGUUUUUUCAAAUCCUAGCAAAGAAAAUACAAAGGCAGACACAGCAAUAGGGAAAUAUGGCCCAAUCACAGCAACAAGAUAAAUAUCCAGAAACUGGCCCUACAGAACCUGAGACCUGUGAAUUACCCAAGAAUUCAAAAUAAUUGUGUUAAACUCAAUAAGCUGUGAGGGAACAUGGAUAACUAAAGGAAAUCAAGAAAGUGAUGCCGGAACAAAAAGUAAAUAUCAACAAAGAAAUAGAUAGUAUGAAAAAGAAUCAAAUAAAUGCUGGAGCUGAAGAAUAUAAUGACUAAAUUGAAAAAUUCCCUGCAGGUCUUCAACAACAGUCAAUCAAGCAGAACAAAGAAUCAGUGAAUAUGAAGACAAGUAGCCUGCAAUUAUUGUCAGGAACAAAAAGAAAACAGAAGGACCAAGUGUGGAAAGCCUGAGAGGCUUAUGGGACGCAGACAUGUGGACCGCUAGAUGCAUGUGGAGAAGUAGGGGGACUAAAGGGCAGAAAACUUAUCUGAAGAAGUGAUGGCAGGAGACUUCCCAAAGCUGAGAAAGGAAACGAACAUCCACAUUCAAGCAGCUCAAAGGAUUCCAAGUAAGACAAACUCAACAGAGGUCCCAGACACAUUAUAAUAAAACUGUCAGAAGGUAUAAGGCAAGGAGAGAAUCUUGAAAGCUGCAAGGAAAAAGGGAGUUGUCAUCGAGGGAGCUCCCAUAAGAUUCUCAGCAGAUAUCCCAGCAGAAACAUUACAGGCCAGGAGGGAGUGGGAGGAUGUAUGCAAAGUGCUGAAGGAAAAAAAUGGCCAAGCAAGAAUACUAUACCUGGCAAAACUGUCCUUCAGAAAUGAAAGAGAAAUAACGACCUUCUCAGCUAAACAAAAGUUGAAGGAGUACAUCAUCAUUAGACGUGCUUUACCAGAAACACUAAGGAAGGCCUUCAAAGUGAAAUGAAAAGAUGCUAAACGCAACAGGAAAGCUUGUGGAAACAUAAAGCUCUUUGGUAAAGGCAAAUAUAUGGACAGAUACAAGAUCCUGUAAUACUGUAGUGUAGUGUAGUGGUGGCAUGUAAACCACUUUUACUUUGGGUAUAGAACUUAAAAGCAUAAAAAGUAACUGUAAUUACAUAACUAUGUUGAUGGAUAUUGUUGAUUAAGAAAUGUCCAAGCCUGUAGAGAAUUCUUGUAACCGUUUAUUGGGAGCCCAAAAUGAUGACAAUGCCGAGAACCAAAAUCUCAGAUGCCCCCGACAGUGACAGUUUUGCAGCUUCUUUUAUGCAUUUGAGAUUAAGGAAGAUGACAUGGAGGUGGCAGAAAGCCAGGCGGGGAUGGAUUACAGGAGAGUCACCACAGUGCUCUGAGGGUGGUUACACCUUGGAGGGGUCUGGAAAGACAAUUACUUGGCAUUUCAAAGGUGUUAACUAGAUUCACAUACACAGAGGAUGGGCCUGGUUUAAGGCAAAGGCAAACCUUUUACUAAAGAAAUUAGUAAAUUAGUAAGAAAUUAGUCACGCCUGGAGCGUGACUGCCCACUGUGACCUGCCCAGGUAGGGAUUUAUGGUCUUAUCACCCAGUGAGGUUACUUUCAGUUAGAACACCCAAACCUGUAGAGAAUUUUUGUAAAAAUUUAUUUGAGCCAAGCAGGAUAUGCCUAGAAGCA
Rhinolophus ferrumequinum (greater horseshoe bat) is the source of this 2625-nucleotide RNA transcript. It is a transcript of the gene named testis development related protein, with no coding region annotated. The transcript is spliced from 3 exons. The record is from RefSeq and is a predicted model, not a curated record. NCBI's taxonomy places the organism in Eukaryota, Metazoa, Chordata, Mammalia, Chiroptera, Rhinolophidae.